GGAUGGCUGAGUCGGUAAAGCAUGAGACUCUUAUUCUCGGGAGUCGUGGCUUCAAGGCCCACACUGAGCAACA
Molecule: non-coding RNA, 73 nt
Organism: Podarcis lilfordi (Lilford's wall lizard)
Lineage: Eukaryota; Metazoa; Chordata; Lepidosauria; Squamata; Lacertidae
Source: the annotation of a GenBank genome assembly